GGUAGCCGUCGGUGAAUACGUUCCCGGGCCUUGUACACACCGCCCGUCACACCACGAGAGUUUGUAACACCCGAAGUCGGUGGGGUAACCUUUUGGAGCCAGCCGCCUAAGGUGGGACAGAUGAUUGGGGUGAAGUCGUAACAAGGUAACC
RNAcentral lists this ribosomal RNA (151 nucleotides) under uncultured bacterium. RNAcentral's name for it is "partial 16S ribosomal RNA". It matches the Rfam family "Bacterial small subunit ribosomal RNA", at positions 1351 to 1501 of the family's 1533-position model. The record is from RNAcentral.